RNAcentral lists this ribosomal RNA (305 nucleotides) under uncultured bacterium. Its description in RNAcentral is "partial 16S ribosomal RNA". It matches the Rfam family "Bacterial small subunit ribosomal RNA", at positions 505 to 807 of the family's 1533-position model. The record is from RNAcentral.
ACAGCAGUCGCCACGGGAAUACGAAGGGGGCUAGCGUUGCUCGGAAUGACUGGGCGUAAAGGGCGCGUAGGCGGUUUACACAGUCAGGUGUGAAAUUCCCGGGCUUAACCUGGGGGCUGCAUUUGAUACGUGUAGACUAGAGUGUGAGAGAGGGUUGUGGAAUUCUCAGUGUAGAGGUGAAAUUCGUAGAUAUUGGGAAGAACACCGGUGGCGAAGGCGGCAACCUGGCUCAUUCUAGACGCUGAGGUGCGAAAGCGUGGGGAGCAAACAGGAUUAGAUACCCCGGUAGUCCCUGUCUCUUAUAC